RNAcentral lists this ribosomal RNA (424 nucleotides) under Verrucomicrobiota bacterium. Its description in RNAcentral is "Verrucomicrobia bacterium partial 16S ribosomal RNA". It matches the Rfam family "Bacterial small subunit ribosomal RNA", at positions 355 to 776 of the family's 1533-position model. Lineage: Bacteria; Pseudomonadati; Verrucomicrobiota. The record is from RNAcentral.
UGAGGAAUAUUGGUCAAUGGGCGAGAGCCUGAACCAGCCAAGUAGCGUGCAGGAUGACGGCCCUAUGGGUUGUAAACUGCUUUUAUAUGGGAAUAAAGUGAGGGACGUGUCCCUUAUUGCAUGUACCAUAUGAAUAAGGACCGGCUAAUUCCGUGCCAGCAGCCGCGGUAAUACGGAAGGUCCAGGCGUUAUCCGGAUUUAUUGGGUUUAAAGGGAGCGUAGGCCGUUUGGUAAGCGUGUUGUGAAAUGUAGGAGCUCAACUUCUAGAUUGCAGCGCGAACUGUCAGACUUGAGUGCGCACAACGUAGGCGGAAUUCAUGGUGUAGCGGUGAAAUGCUUAGAUAUCAUGAAGAACUCCGAUUGCGAAGGCAGCUUACGGGAGCGCAACUGACGCUGAAGCUCGAAGGUGCGGGUAUCGAACAGG